Long non-coding RNA from Ictalurus punctatus (channel catfish), 1304 nucleotides. NCBI's taxonomy places the organism in Eukaryota, Metazoa, Chordata, Actinopteri, Siluriformes, Ictaluridae. The record is from Ensembl.
GAAACUCCUCUACUUGGCCCUUAUCGAAGGCGUUCCUGUUUCCCUGUAGCAGGCAGCGAUCAGAAGGAGCCUAAAUAAUCACUUUUACCGACGGUCGCUGUGUGGCUGUCCCCUUAGCCACUUCAGCAACAUUAAGGGAAAGGACACCUUCAUAACUUCUUUUAGGAUCAGUUGGUAUGUUCAGAGUGUUUGACUCCACCCAAAAGAAGAAAAUGACCUACUUGCUGAUGGGUGCAAUUGGCUGAGAGGCAGACAACAUGGCCCUUAAGUGAUUCUUAAAGAAAGAUGGUAGCAAGUUAAUCUUGCUGACAAGAUGAUCCUGAAGUCAAACUGAAAAGGUUGUGAAUGAACUGGCUGUGAUGGGUGUUCACCUUGACACAGGAUGGUGUCCUACUUGAUGCAGGACCAUGUUGUGCUCACUACCACAGCCGACCUGAGUUUGGUAUGGACACUUGCACCGGAGUGACUGGAUGAAAUGCUGACAGAUGCAGAAUUGAGGAACCAUGUACCACGUACCACAGUGGCUUGAGUACAAGUGCGUGGCACAAGACCAGUGAAAUCUGACUUGCCUUACUGGUUAAAUAGAUUGACACUUGGUUUUUUAGCAAUGCAAGGGUCAUGGAAAGCCUGUGAGUUAUAAUCAGGGUAACAUGAGCCUGUAGUAUGUAUGCUGUGCUUUGAAACCUGUUUUAACCAAUAAAUCACAAUAUGAACAACUGGUCUGUUAAUGAACCUGAACAGUGCAUGGUGACUGGUAAAUGAGACCUUUUUUAGCUGCACACAUGUUCAAAUCAAAGGGGGGGUUGGUCUGAAUGUGUUGUCACGUGAUGCAUCUUGGUCUAAAUCUAUAGUAACCUUGAGAAAUUAACUGCUUACAAAUAUUAAGGAGUUUAAUUGGUUUUUGCAUUUUUCUAGCAAAAUCCUUAAGUGAUUAGUUUUAAAGGGUGCAACCAACAGCAGUGGCGCUUCCAUUUCAGGGCAAUGAGCUCACUGCCCAAAACCUUAUACUUUUGCUACUGCUUGAACUGAAGGUGAAUGAUUGAAUUUGUUGGGUAAGAAUAUUUACAACACUUUCUAGGGAAUUGUCUGCUUAAGCAUACCUAAUAUGGAAAGUAGGAAAAUAGCCUAUAUAAGUUGCUCAUUGUACUGGGUAUGUACUUCAAAAUGGAACUGCAUAACAAAGUAAGGACUCAAUAAAAAAAUUCUGAUACAUUGAAAUACAGUUGUUGGUUAAUAAAUGUAAAACUACAACAAACUUGAGUACAUUUGUCACUGGAGAAAUCAUUUACAGUGCUGGAGCAAAU